GUUCUUCCAAGUGGUUUUGAUACGUCCGCUGACCGGACGUUACAAGGACUUUCCUCUGAUGAUGCUGGCUUCUCUGGUGUUGACUACUUCUUACGGGAUUGCUACAUCUAUGACGGAGAAGUGGCACCUUUACGUUUACGCUAUCACCAAAAACUUCGGAGUUAUCCUGAGGAAUGUUGUCAUCGUGGCAGCCUUGUCAAAAGCGUCACCUAGAGAGGACACAGGCGCUGUGAUGGGUUUGUUAUCGAUGGUUGCGCAUCUGACGCAGGUCGUCUCUCCACCAAUCAGCACCUAUGUUCUCGAUCACGUGGGUUACCAGUUUUUAGGAGCUACCAGUGCCACU
Molecule: long non-coding RNA, 343 nt
Organism: Branchiostoma belcheri (Belcher's lancelet)
Lineage: Eukaryota; Metazoa; Chordata; Leptocardii; Amphioxiformes; Branchiostomatidae
Exons: 3
Source: RefSeq, a predicted model, not a curated record